ACUCCUACGGGAGGCAGCAGUGGGGAAUAUUGCACAAUGGGCGCAAGCCUGAUGCAGCCAUGCCGCGUGUGUGAAGAAGGCCUUCGGGUUGUAAAGCACUUUCAGUCGUGAGGAAGGUAGUGUAGUUAAUAGCUGCAUUAUUUGACGUUAGCGGAACAGAGAAGCGACCGCUAACUCCGUGCCAGCAGCCGCGGUAAUACGGAGGGUGCGAGCGUUAAUCGGAAUUACUGGGCGUAAAGCGCAUGCAGGUGGUUUGUUAAGUCAGAUGUGAAAGCCCGGGGCUCAACCUCGGAAUUGCAUUUGAAACUGGCAGGCUAGAGUACUGUAGAGGGGGGUAGAAUUUCAGGUGUAGCGGUGAAAUGCGUAGAGAUCUGAAGGAAUACCGGUGGCGAAGGCGGCCCCCUGGACAGAUACUGACACUCAGAUGCGAAAGCGUGGGGAGCAAACAGGAUUAGAUACCCUGGUAGCUACGAGU
Molecule: ribosomal RNA, 475 nt
Filed under: uncultured bacterium
Lineage: Bacteria
Description: bacterial SSU rRNA
Rfam family: Bacterial small subunit ribosomal RNA
Source: RNAcentral